This 481-nucleotide ribosomal RNA is filed under the name uncultured Marmoricola sp. Its description in RNAcentral is "partial 16S ribosomal RNA". The record is from RNAcentral. Lineage: Bacteria; Bacillati; Actinomycetota; Actinomycetes; Propionibacteriales; Nocardioidaceae.
CACGUAGUUGGCCGGUGCUUCUUCUGCGCAUACCGUCACUUUCGCUUCGUCUGCGCUGAAAGAGGUUUACAACCCGAAGGCCGUCAUCCCUCACGCGGCGUUGCUGGAUCAGGCUUUCGCCCAUUGUCCAAUAUUCCCCACUGCUGCCUCCCGUAGGAGUCUGGGCCGUGUCUCAGUCCCAGUGUGGCCGGUCACCCUCUCAGGCCGGCUACCCGUCGAAGCCUUGGUGGGCCAUUACCCCACCAACAAGCUGAUAGGCCGCGAGCUCAUCCUCCACCGCCGGAACUUUCCACCACCAUCAGAUGCCUGAAGUGGUCGUAUCCGGUAUUAGCUCCCGUUCCGGGGUUAUCCCGAUGUGGAGGGCAGAUUGCUCACGUGUUACUCACCCGUUCGCCGCUCGUGUACCCCGAAGGGCCUUACCGCUCGACUUGCAUGUGUUAAGCACGCCGCCAGCGUUCGUCCUGAGCCAGGAUCAAACUCU